GUGUGGGGGCUGCCCCUAGAUAUGUGGGGGCAGGAGGGUCACGUGUGUGGGGCUCUGCCCAUAGAUGUGUGGGGCAGACCCAUAGAUGUGGGGCAGGAGGGUAGUGUGUGGGGCUUGCCCAUAGAUAUGGUAGGGGGCGGCGAGGGUAGUGUGUGGCGGCUGCCCUGAUGUGGGGCGGGGGUCAGUGUGUGGGCUGACCCAUAGAUGUGUGGGGCUGACCCAUAGAUAAUGGUGGCAGGAGGGUCAGCUUGUGUGGGGCUGGCCCGAUAUGUGGGCAGGAGGGUCAGUGUGUGGGGCUGCCCCAUAGAUGUGUGGGGCUGCCCCAUAGAUGUGUGGGGCAGGAGGGUCAGUGUGUGGGGCUGCCCCAUAGAUGUGUGGGGCAGGAGGGUCAGUGUGUGGGGCUGCCCCAUAGAUAUGGGCCAGGAGGGUCAGUGUGUGGGGCUGCCCCACAGAUAUGUGGGGCAGAGGGAACUUGGGGGGGGCUGCCCCAUAGAUGUGUGGGGCAGAGGGAACUUGGGGGGCUGCCCCAUAGAUACUGGGAGGAGGCAGGUAAGUGACGCUGUGGGGCGGGAGCUUGUGGGGCUGCCCCAUAGAUAAAGGGGUCAGGUACUUGUGGGGCAGCCCCAUAGAUAUGUGGGGGGGGUUAUAACUUAUGGGGCAGCCCCAUAGAUAAUGGGGGGCCAGUAACUUAUGGGGCAGCCCCAUAGAUAUGUGGGGCAGGGGAUAACUUAUGGGGCAGCCCCAUAGAUAUGGGGGGGGCCAGUAACUUAUGGGGCAGCCCCAUAGAUAUGUGGGGCAGGGGAUAACUUAUGGGGCAGCCCCAUAGAUGUGUGGGGCAGGGGAUAACUUAUGGGGCUGCCCCAUAGAUUCUAUGGGGUGAAUGUGGGGCUCGGUGUUAACGUUCCUCUCUUCUCCUCCUCAAAUGCUGCCCGGAUUUGCAUAAUUAAUCACCUCUUUAUGUUAAUUACUCUUUAUGUUAAUUAUCCUUUAUGUUAAUCCCCCUUAAUGCUAAUUACCUUUUAUGCUAAUUGACUUUAUGCUAAUUACCCUUUUAUGCUAAUUACCCCUUUAUGCUAAUCCCCCUUUAUUCCCCUUUAUGUUACUGUACCUUUAUGUUAAUGACCCUUUAUGCUAAUUACCCCCCUUUAUGCUAAUUACCCUCCCCCUUAUGCUAAUUACCCCUCACUUAUGCUAAUUACCCCCCCUUUAUGCUAAUUACCCUCCCUUUUAUGCUAACUAUCCUCCCAUUUAUGCUAAUUACCCUCCCCUUUAUGCUAAUUGUCCUCUUUCUUAUGCUAAUUACCCCCCUUUAUGCUAAUUACCCCCUUUAUGCUAAUUACCCUCCCUUUUAUGCUAAUUACCCUCCCUUUUAUGCUAAUUACCCUCCCCUUUAUGCUAAUUAUUCUCUCCCUUAUGCUAAUUAACCCUCCCCUAAUUCCUUUAUUCCCUUUAUGCUAAUUACCCUCUAUGCUAAUGACCCUCUAUGCUAAUGACCCUCUAUGCUAAUUACCCUCUAUGCUAAUUACCUUUAUGCUAAUGACCCCUUAUGCUAUCCCCCCCUACGUCAACCCCCCUUUCCAUUAACCCCCCUUUAUGC
This is a long non-coding RNA of Coturnix japonica (Japanese quail), 1597 nucleotides long. The record is from Ensembl. NCBI's taxonomy places the organism in Eukaryota, Metazoa, Chordata, Aves, Galliformes, Phasianidae.